This 398-nucleotide ribosomal RNA is filed under the name uncultured bacterium. RNAcentral's name for it is "bacterial SSU rRNA". It matches the Rfam family "Bacterial small subunit ribosomal RNA", at positions 30 to 429 of the family's 1533-position model. The record is from RNAcentral.
AUUGAACGCUGGCGGCAUGCCUUACACAUGCAAGUCGAACGGCAGCACGGGAGCUUGCUCCUGGUGGCGAGUGGCGAACGGGUGAGUAAUGCAUCGGAACGUGCCCUGAAGUGGGGGAUAACGUAGCGAAAGUUACGCUAAUACCGCAUAUUCUGUGAGCAGGAAAGCAGGGGAUCUUCGGACCUUGCGCUUUUGGAGCGGCCGAUGUCGGAUUAGCUAGUUGGUGGGGUAAAGGCCCACCAAGGCGACGAUCCGUAGCGGGUCUGAGAGGAUGAUCCGCCACACUGGAACUGAGACACGGUCCAGACUCCUACGGGAGGCAGCAGUGGGGAAUUUUGGACAAUGGGCGCAAGCCUGAUCCAGCCAUGCCGCGUGAGUGAAGAAGGCCUCGGUGUAAG